UACGAAGGGGGCUAGCGUUGCUCGGAAUCACUGGGCGUAAAGGGUGCGUAGGCGGGUCUUUAAGUCAGAGGUGAAAUCCUGGAGCUCAACUCCAGAACUGCCUUUGAUACUGGGUAUCUGGAGUCCGGAAGAGGUGAGUGGAAUUCCGAGUGUAGAGGUGAAAUUCGUAGAUAUUCGGAGGAACACCAGUGGCGAAGGCGGCUCACUGGCCCGAUACUGACGCUGAGGCACGAAAGCGUGGGGAGCAAACAGG
Molecule: ribosomal RNA, 253 nt
Filed under: uncultured Hyphomicrobiales bacterium
Lineage: Bacteria; Pseudomonadati; Pseudomonadota; Alphaproteobacteria; Hyphomicrobiales
Description: uncultured Rhizobiales bacterium partial 16S ribosomal RNA
Rfam family: Bacterial small subunit ribosomal RNA
Source: RNAcentral